RNAcentral lists this ribosomal RNA (587 nucleotides) under Ditylum brightwellii. Its description in RNAcentral is "partial Eukaryotic large subunit ribosomal RNA". It matches the Rfam family "Eukaryotic large subunit ribosomal RNA", at positions 631 to 1220 of the family's 3401-position model. Lineage: Eukaryota; Bacillariophyta; Thalassiosirophyceae; Lithodesmiales; Lithodesmiaceae. The record is from RNAcentral.
UAAAUGGUUUUCUUUACCCCGUCUUGUAACACGGACCAAGGAGUCUAACAUCUAUGCGAGUGUUUGGGUGUCAAGCCCGAGCGCGUAAUGAAAGUGAACGGAGGUGGGAUCCCGCAAGGGUGCACCAUCGACCGAUCCUGAUGUCUUCGGAUGGAUUUGAGUAAGAGCAUAACUGUUCGGACCCGAAAGAUGGUGAACUAUGCGUGGAUAGGGUGAAGCCAGAGGAAACUCUGGUGGAGGCUCGCAGCGGUUCUGACGUGCAAAUCGAUCGUCAAAUCUGCGCAUGGGGGCGAAAGACUUAUCGAACCAUCUAGUAGCUGGUUACCGCCGAAGUUUCCCUCAGGAUAGCAGUGUUGAUCUUCAGUUUUAUGAGGUAAAGCGAAUGAUUAGGGAAUCGGGGGCUAAUUUUUGCCUUCAUCCAUUCUCAAACUUUAAAUAUGUAAGAAGCCCUUGUUACUUAAUUGAACGUGGGCAUUCGAAUGUACCAACACUAGUGGGCCAUUUUUGGUAAGCAGAACUGGCGAUGCGGGAUGAACCGAUCGUGAGGUUAAGGUGCCGGAAUAUACGCUCAUCAGACACCACAAAAG